CGGGAAUAUUGGACAAUGGGGGCAACCCUGAUCCAGCAAUACCGCGUGUGUGAAGAAGGCCUGCGGGUUGUAAAGCACUUUUAGUGGGGAAGAUAAUGACGUUACCCACAGAAAAAGCACCGGUUAACUUCGUGCCAGCAGCCGCGGUAAUACGGAGGGUGCAAGCGUUAAUCGGAAUUACUGGGCGUAAAGCGUGCGUAGGCGGCUCUUUAAGUCGGAUGUGAAAUCCCCGGGCUUAACCUGGGAAUUGCAUCCGAUACUGGGGAGCUAGAAUGUGGGAGAGGGAAGUGGAAUUUCCGGUGUAGCGGUGAAAUGUAUAGAGAUCGGAAGGAACAUCAGUGGCGAAGGCGACUUCCUGGACCAACAUUGACGCUGAGGCACGAAAGCGUGGGUAGCAAAC
This 400-nucleotide ribosomal RNA is filed under the name uncultured bacterium. Its description in RNAcentral is "bacterial SSU rRNA". It matches the Rfam family "Bacterial small subunit ribosomal RNA", at positions 356 to 773 of the family's 1533-position model. The record is from RNAcentral.